This 292-nucleotide ribosomal RNA is filed under the name uncultured bacterium. RNAcentral's name for it is "partial 16S ribosomal RNA". It matches the Rfam family "Bacterial small subunit ribosomal RNA", at positions 505 to 796 of the family's 1533-position model. The record is from RNAcentral.
GUGUCAGCAGCCGCGGUAAUACGUAGGGUGCGAGCGUUGUCCGGAAUUAUUGGGCGUAAAGGGCUCGUAGGCGGUUUGUCGCGUCGGGAGUGAAAACCUUGGGCUUAACUCAGGGCUUGCUUUCGAUACGGGCAGACUAGAGGUAUGCAGGGGAGAACGGAAUUCCUGGUGUAGCGGUGAAAUGCGCAGAUAUCAGGAGGAACACCGGUGGCGAAGGCGGUUCUCUGGGCAUGAUCUGACGCUGAGGAGCGAAAGUGUGGGGAGCGAACAGGAUUAGAUACCCUGGUAGUCC